UAGGGAAUCUUCCGCAAUGGGCGAAAGCCUGACAGAGCAACGCCGCGUGAGUGAUGAAGGUCUUCGGAUCGUAAAACUCUGUUAUUAGGGAAGAACAAAUGUGUAAGUAACUAUGCACGUCUUGACGGUACCUAAUCAGAAAGCCACGGCUAACUACGUGCCAGCAGCCGCGGUAAUACGUAGGUGGCAAGCGUUAUCCGGAAUUAUUGGGCGUAAAGCGCGCGUAGGCGGUUUUUUAAGUCUGAUGUGAAAGCCCACGGCUCAACCGUGGAGGGUCAUUGGAAACUGGAAAACUUGAGUGCAGAAGAGGAAAGUGGAAUUCCAUGUGUAGCGGUGAAAUGCGCAGAGAUAUGGAGGAACACCAGUGGCGAAGGCGACUUUCUGGUCUGUAACUGACGCUGAUGUGCGAAAGCGUGGGGAUCAAACAGGA
Molecule: ribosomal RNA, 430 nt
Filed under: Actinomycetes bacterium
Lineage: Bacteria; Bacillati; Actinomycetota; Actinomycetes
Description: Actinobacteria bacterium partial 16S ribosomal RNA
Rfam family: Bacterial small subunit ribosomal RNA
Source: RNAcentral